RNAcentral lists this ribosomal RNA (490 nucleotides) under uncultured bacterium. RNAcentral's name for it is "partial 16S ribosomal RNA". It matches the Rfam family "Bacterial small subunit ribosomal RNA", at positions 30 to 507 of the family's 1533-position model. The record is from RNAcentral.
AUUGAACGCUGGCGGCAGGCCUAACACAUGCAAGUCGAACGGUAACAGGGAUCAGCUUGCUGAUUCGCUGACGAGUGGCGGACGGGUGAGUAAUGUCUGGGAAACUGCCUGAUGGAGGGGGAUAACUACUGGAAACGGUAGCUAAUACCGCAUAACGUCGCAAGACCAAAGAGGGGGACCUUCGGGCCUCUUGCCAUCGGAUGUGCCCAGAUGGGAUUAGCUAGUAGGUGGGGUAACGGCUCACCUAGGCGACGAUCCCUAGCUGGUCUGAGAGGAUGACCAGCCACACUGGAACUGAGACACGGUCCAGACUCCUACGGGAGGCAGCAGUGGGGAAUAUUGCACAAUGGGCGCAAGCCUGAUGCAGCCAUGCCGCGUGUAUGAAGAAGGCCUUCGGGUUGUAAAGUACUUUCAGCGGGGAGGAAGGGAGUAAAGUUAAUACCUUUGCUAAUUGACGUUACCCGCAGAAGAAGCACCGGCUAACUCCGUG